Molecule: long non-coding RNA, 782 nt
Organism: Populus trichocarpa (black cottonwood)
Lineage: Eukaryota; Viridiplantae; Streptophyta; Magnoliopsida; Malpighiales; Salicaceae
Exons: 3
Source: RefSeq, a predicted model, not a curated record
AAAACCUCUAGGCGAAAAAUUAUAAAUUGACUAGUUUCAUGUAAAACAAAAAGAAAACAAUUUGUAACUCUCGAUCGGGUUAUCAGAAAAUUCUGAAAAUUUACGUGGAGCCUUCUAAUAUGAUUCCUUAGCUUGGGUUAAAAUUUCAGAAGUUUUAGAGAAAUUCAGAAAUUUGACGAAAAAUCACAAUUUGACUAGUUUUACGUUAUUGGACGUAAUUUUAAAUCCGACCAUCAAAUUGAGCUGAAAUUUUAUGAGGAACCUUAAAAUAAAUAAAAUCUAUUUAAAAUUUUAGGAUGAAUGGAGCUCGGCAGUGCUAUCAAAGAAUAAGGACCGUCAAAUGGAAGCAAAAAGACUCAUAAGGGUAAAAUGGUAAUUUGCCAUUAAAAAUAAAACAAGGCAGCCCCUUUUCUGUUAUGAACUGCUGACUGGGCAGUAACAAAUGUGAAAAGAAAAAAAAAUAAGAAAAGAACGUGAGAAGUUAAGAGAAAAACAAGAAAAAGCGAGAGAGAGCUUUGAAACUUGUAAGAUUGAAAGACUUGGAACAUUAAAUUAAGGAAGAAUCAAGUGAAGGAAGAUAUAAGAAAGGUGAGGAGGGCUGGCCACACUAGGAGGAGAAGAAAAGUUGGGAGAACUUAGAUUGGAGUUGUACCGGGAGCAGGGCAUCAGGCAGGAGGAGCUGGGCUAUCACGAGCAGACGGUUUUUCACGAGGUGAUGCGGAGCGUUAAAUAUGGGCUUUUUGUUUUAAUCUGUUUAUUUUGUGGGAUGUAAUAUAUUUGCU